This 56-nucleotide transfer RNA is filed under the name Cylisticus convexus. RNAcentral describes it as "tRNA-Pro". The record is from RNAcentral. Lineage: Eukaryota; Metazoa; Arthropoda; Malacostraca; Isopoda; Cylisticidae.
UUAUAAAGAUAAAAUUUUAAUAUCCAAAACUAAUGUUUUUAUUAAACUAGUCUAUA